GAAAUCACAAUAAAAACAGUUUCCACAAAUCUGAGCAUGCAUACAGACAGACAUCUCUAUUUAGAUGAUUAAAGUAGACCCUGGGGUCAGUAAAAAGUUCCAACAUUAAUCAGAUAAUAAAAUCAGUUGCAGAUCACAGGUUCUACAACUAGUUCAAAUGAAAGAAGGAACAAAAGGGAUUAAAAAGAAUGUCAAUUUCAUGGAAUAACUAAUUACAAAAAGAUGAACUAAUGGUAUUAUAAAUAUUCUUCUUUUCAUUCUCAUUUGCUUCUUCCUUUUCCAUUCGUUUUCCAACCUGUUAUUUUGGAUUAUUGUGAGUGAAUACUCCCAAUUUUCCAAACAAACAUGCUCCAUUUCUUAAUUUCUUAAGUAUGAAAUAAGAAAAAGUCCUAUAUGAUAAUAAAGGCAUUAGACAUAUUCAUAAGCUGAGCAUAUUACUAACAUAAUAUAUACAGCAGCCUCCCAUAUAAUAACGGUAAUUUGGUGCAUUUUCCCCUAUUAUUCGACAUCAAAAGACAAGUAGAAUAUAAUAGUUUCAAACACAAGGAGAGGGAAAAAGCCAACUUACAAGCCGGGAAAAAACAUGUAACAUACUAGAAAAUAGAUUCAAGCUUUGAGAAGAAUGAACAAACAAAGUAAAUAAAUCCUUACUAAUCAUGCUAAACAUGAAACAUCGCAAUACAAUUCAUUUUAAAAAAUCUGAGAUUAAUUACUAAUUAACUGGAAUACCAACAAACGACGAAACUAUCCAUAUAAUAAUGAAAAUAAAUUGGAAGCCAUACCAAUUUCAUAAACCCUAAUUUCAAAAAUAUGGAAGAGACAAGGGGGAAAGUGACGUGUAACCGAAAGGAAAAAGUUUUAAUCAACAAAAAUAAUGUUAAACGAUUAAGGGAAAAAAAGAAUAGAAUGUUUUACCUUUUGAAGCGGGGUGGAGAGAAACAGGCGAAGAAUUUCCAGCCAAAAAUUAGGCUCAAACUAAACGUUAACUGAUUUUAAUAAUUUGGAGGGAUUGGGGAAGAAAUAAAGGGAUGUGGGAAAUUGGAGAUUUCGAUUAGAAAGGGAUUUGGGAAGUUGGGAAAUUGAGGAAAAGAAAUUGGGGAAGAAUAGUUUAGGGAUUUUGAUCAGAAGUUGGGAAAUUGGGGAAAAGAAAUUGGGGAAAUCUAAUUUGGGGGAAAACCUAAAGGAAUUUCGGGUCUAAU
Molecule: long non-coding RNA, 1199 nt
Filed under: Gossypium barbadense (sea-island cotton)
Lineage: Eukaryota; Viridiplantae; Streptophyta; Magnoliopsida; Malvales; Malvaceae
Description: long non-coding RNA (GBAR_LNC018720)
Source: RNAcentral